This 460-nucleotide ribosomal RNA is filed under the name uncultured bacterium. RNAcentral describes it as "partial 16S ribosomal RNA". It matches the Rfam family "Bacterial small subunit ribosomal RNA", at positions 338 to 795 of the family's 1533-position model. The record is from RNAcentral.
CCUACGGGAGGCAGCAGUGAGGAAUAUUGGUCAAUGGCCGGAAGGCUGAACCAGCCAUGCCGCGUGAAGGUCAGUGCCCUAUGGGCGUUAAACUUCUUUUGUGCGGGAGCAAUAAUGGUCACGUGUGGCCAGACGAGAGUACCGUACGAAUAAGCAUCGGCUAACUCCGUGCCAGCAGCCGCGGUAAUACGGGGGAUGCAAGCGUUAUCCGGAUUUAUUGGGUUUAAAGGGUGCGUAGGCUGUGAGGUAAGUCAGCGGUGAAAUGCCCCCGCUCAACGGGGUGAAGUGCCAUUGAUACUGCCUGGCUGGAAUGCGGAUGCCGUGGGAGGAAUGUGUGGUGUAGCGGUGAAAUGCAUAGAUAUCACACAGAACACCGAGUGCGAAGGCAUCUCACGAAUCCGCGAUUGACGCUGAUGCACGAAAGCGUGGGUAUCAAACAGGAUUAGAUACCCCAGUAGUC